GUGCUCGCUUCGGCAGCACGUAUACUAAAAUUGGAACGAUACAGAGAAGAUUAGCAUGGCCCCUGUCAAAAAAAAAAAAAAAAAAAUUUGAAAGAUCAU
RNAcentral lists this small nuclear RNA (99 nucleotides) under Propithecus coquereli (Coquerel's sifaka). The record is from RNAcentral. Lineage: Eukaryota; Metazoa; Chordata; Mammalia; Primates; Indriidae.